This 466-nucleotide ribosomal RNA is filed under the name uncultured bacterium. RNAcentral describes it as "partial 16S ribosomal RNA". It matches the Rfam family "Bacterial small subunit ribosomal RNA", at positions 28 to 507 of the family's 1533-position model. The record is from RNAcentral.
GAUGAACGCUGGCGGCGUGCUUAACACAUGCAAGUCGAACGGAAAGGCCCUGCUUGCAGUGUACUCGAGUGGCGAACGGGUGAGUAACACGUGGGUGAUCUGCCCUGUACUUUGGGAUAAGCCUGGGAAACUGGGUCUAAUACCCAAUAUGACAAUUGUUUGGAUGCGAUUGUGGAAAGCUUUUGCGGUAUGGGAUGAGCUCGCGGCCUAUCAGCUUGUUGGUGGGGUAAUGGCCUACCAAGGCGUCGACGGGUAGCCGGCCUGAGAGGGUGUACGGCCACAUUGGGACUGUGAGACAGGCCAGAGUCGGGCAGGAGGCAGCAGUGGGGAAAAUUGGACAAAGGGAGCAAGCGUGAGGCAGCGACGCCGCGUGGGGGAUAACGGCCUUCGGGUUGGAAGAACCUUUCGCGACCGACGAAGCCUUUUGGUGACGGUAGGUUGAGAAGAAGCACCGGCUAACUACGUG